This 252-nucleotide ribosomal RNA is filed under the name uncultured bacterium. RNAcentral's name for it is "partial 16S ribosomal RNA". It matches the Rfam family "Bacterial small subunit ribosomal RNA", at positions 524 to 776 of the family's 1533-position model. The record is from RNAcentral.
UACGUAGGGGGCAAGCGUUAUCCGGAAUCAUUGGGCGUAAAGGGUGCGUAGGCGGCCUAUAAAGUCUGGGGUGAAAGGCUACGGCUUAACCGUAGUAAGCCUUGGAAACUUAUGGGCUUGAGUGCAGGAGAGGAGAGUGGAAUUCCUAGUGUAGCGGUGAAAUGCGUAGAUAUUAGGAGGAACACCAGUGGCGAAGGCGACUCUCUGGACUGUAACUGACGCUGAGGCACGAAAGCGUGGGGAGCGAACAGG